UGAAUAAAAGUCGUAACAAGGUCUCCGUAGGUGAACC
This 37-nucleotide ribosomal RNA is filed under the name Cladosporium cladosporioides. RNAcentral describes it as "partial 18S ribosomal RNA". Lineage: Eukaryota; Fungi; Ascomycota; Dothideomycetes; Cladosporiales; Cladosporiaceae. The record is from RNAcentral.